GAUGAAGAACGCAGCGAAAUGCGAUAAGUAAUGUGAAUUGCAGAAUUCAGUGAAUCAUCGAAUCUUUGUACGCACAUUGCGCCCCCUGGUAUUCCGGGGGGCAUGCCUGUUCGAGCGUCAUUACAACCCUCAAGCUCUGCUUGGUAUUGGGCCCCGCCAGUUCUGGCGGGCCCUAAAGUCAGUGGCGGUGCCUUCCGGCUCCGAGCGUAGUAAUUCUUCUCGCUCUGGAGACCCGGUUGUGUGCUUGCCAACAACCCCCAAUUUUUUAAGGUUGACCUCGGAUCAGGUAGGGAUACCCGCUGAACUUAAGCAUAUCAAUAAGCGGAGGA
RNAcentral lists this unclassified non-coding RNA (329 nucleotides) under soil metagenome. RNAcentral describes it as "partial contains 5.8S ribosomal RNA, internal transcribed spacer 2, and large subunit ribosomal RNA". The stretch from base 1 to 120 matches the Rfam family "5.8S ribosomal RNA", at positions 35 to 154 of the family's 154-position model. The record is from RNAcentral.